AAUGAACGUUGGCGGCGUGGAUUAGGCAUGCAAGUCGCGCGGAAAGGCCCCUUCGGGGGUGCUCGAGCGGCGAAAGGGAGAGUAACCCGUGGAUUACCUACCCUCAGGCCCGGGAUAGCUGCGGGAAACCGCAAUUAAUACCGGAUAAUGUCCCUGGACCAAAGGUGUGAUUCCUCCUGAGGAUGGGUCCGCGUCCUAUUAGCUAGUUGGUAGGGUAACGGCCUACCAAGGCGAUGAUGGGUACUGGGUGGAGAGCAUGACCCAGCUCACUGGGACUGAGACACUGCCCAGACACCUACGGGUGGCUGCAGUCGAGGAUCUUCGGCAAUGAGCGCAAGCUUGACCGAGCGACGCCGCGUGCGGGAU
RNAcentral lists this ribosomal RNA (366 nucleotides) under uncultured bacterium. RNAcentral describes it as "bacterial SSU rRNA". It matches the Rfam family "Bacterial small subunit ribosomal RNA", at positions 29 to 409 of the family's 1533-position model. The record is from RNAcentral.